RNAcentral lists this ribosomal RNA (806 nucleotides) under uncultured Cryobacterium sp. RNAcentral describes it as "bacterial SSU rRNA". It matches the Rfam family "Bacterial small subunit ribosomal RNA", at positions 564 to 1369 of the family's 1533-position model. Lineage: Bacteria; Bacillati; Actinomycetota; Actinomycetes; Micrococcales; Microbacteriaceae. The record is from RNAcentral.
AGAGCUCGUAGGCGGUUUGUCGCGUCUGCUGUGAAAACCCGAGGCUCAACCUCGGGCCUGCAGUGGGUACGGGCAGACUAGAGUGCGGUAGGGGAGAUUGGAAUUCCUGGUGUAGCGGUGGAAUGCGCAGAUAUCAGGAGGAACACCAAUGGCGAAGGCAGAUCUCUGGGCCGUAACUGACGCUGAGGAGCGAAAGCAUGGGGAGCAAACAGGAUUAGAUACCCUGGUAGUCCAUGCCGUAAACGUUGGGAACUAGAUGUGGGGACCAUUCCACGGUCUCCGUGUCGCAGCUAACGCAUUAAGUUCCCCGCCUGGGGAGUACGGCCGCAUGGCUAAAACUCAAAGGAAUUGACGGGGGCCCGCACAAGCGGCGGAGCAUGCGGAUUAAUUCGAUGCAACGCGAAGAACCUUACCAAGGCUUGACAUAUACCGGAAACGGCUGGAAACAGUCGCCCCGCAAGGUCGGUAUACAGGUGGUGCAUGGUUGUCGUCAGCUCGUGUCGUGAGAUGUUGGGUUAAGUCCCGCAACGAGCGCAACCCUCGUCCUAUGUUGCCAGCACGUAAUGGUGGGAACUCAUGGGAUACUGCCGGGGUCAACUCGGAGGAGGGUGGGGAUGACGUCAAAUCAUCAUGCCCUUUAUGUCUUGGGCUUCACGCAUGCUACAAUGGCCGGUACAAAGGGCUGCGAUACCGCAAGGUGGAGCGUAUCCCAAAAAGCCGGUCUCAGUUCGGAUUGAGGUCUGCAACUCGACCUCAUGAAGUCGGAGUCGCUAGUAAUCGCAGAUCAGCAACGCUGCGGUGAAUAC